RNAcentral lists this non-coding RNA (685 nucleotides) under Pan troglodytes (chimpanzee). The record is from RNAcentral. Lineage: Eukaryota; Metazoa; Chordata; Mammalia; Primates; Hominidae.
GCAUUGGCGCGGCUGGCGGCUGCAAUGAGCUCCCGCGAGUCGUCGCUGCGCAUGAAGAGGACCACGACGCGCGCGUUGGGCUUCUGCAACAGUUCUCGGAUCACGCUGUCGUAGGACUUGCGGAUGUUGGAGCGGCCCACCUUCUCCGCCGUAGCGAUGCAGAUGUUGCGCAGGCGGGCUUCCUGCUCGAAGGCCUCGAUCCCUGUCUCCCCGUAAUCACCCUCGGAGGCUACUGUGGACACGUAGGUCCAGUUGAAGAAGCGCAAGAUCUCAGCCAUGGCUUUGGCCUGGUAGAAGUCGGGGGGCACGGUCCUGGCAAAGUAAUCAUAGCGCGACUUAUCACUGAGUUUGGCGCUGGUGGAUGCGUAGCUGAUCUGAGGGAUCUGGAAGAGCCGCAGCAGGACUAGGAGACUCUGGACAAAAUGGCCUAUACUGACUUAUUUAGGCAUAGGAAUAUUGCUUCACUCAGCCUGACUGAAAUGGCAGGUGUCACCAAACAGGUACUGUCAUUACUUCUAGAAUGAGUGCCUGGCUUCCACUGGAUUUAUGUACCACUAUGGAAGGCUUGGUGAUAGGAGCCCUGUCUAUGCAUAGCUUGACUUUGUUAAGAGGUUUCUGGCUAGCACUGGAGAGGCCAUCUCUUCUUGAUACACUACAAUGAUUUUCUCAUCUUCAAGUUAUAUUA